RNAcentral lists this transfer RNA (82 nucleotides) under Stegodyphus mimosarum. Its description in RNAcentral is "tRNA-Ser for anticodon UGA". It matches the Rfam family "tRNA". From Rfam's summary of the family: Transfer RNA (tRNA) molecules are approximately 80 nucleotides in length. Their secondary structure includes four short double-helical elements and three loops (D, anti-codon, and T loops). Further hydrogen bonds mediate the characteristic L-shaped molecular structure. tRNAs have two regions of fundamental functional importance: the anti-codon, which is responsible for specific mRNA codon recognition, and the 3' end, to which the tRNAs corresponding amino acid is attached (by aminoacyl-tRNA synthetases). tRNAs cope with the degeneracy of the genetic code in two manners: having more than one tRNA (with a specific anti-codon) for a particular amino acid; and 'wobble' base-pairing, i.e. permitting non-standard base-pairing at the 3rd anti-codon position. Lineage: Eukaryota; Metazoa; Arthropoda; Arachnida; Araneae; Eresidae. The record is from Rfam by way of RNAcentral.
GCAGUCGUGGCCGAGUGGUUAAGGCGAUGGACUUGAAAUCCAUUGGGAGUUUCCCGCGCAGGUUCGAAUCCUGCCGACUGCG